AUACAAGGGACCAUUCAUGAAAAAUUUGGAGUCAUUUGGAUGUGGGGAAGUGUGUGAACAAAAAUUGUGAAAAUGCAUGAUCAUGGUAUGACACCAAAUGCAACACAUGACUUCAAAAAAUCAUAACUCUCAAUCCACAAAUGAUAAAUGCACAAACUUUAUAUGGAAAUGAAGGUCAAUGUGUCUAGUUUUACCACAAAAAAUU
This 205-nucleotide long non-coding RNA is filed under the name Lathyrus oleraceus (garden pea). RNAcentral describes it as "Pisum sativum (pea) long non-coding RNA (PSAT_LNC006837)". The record is from RNAcentral. Lineage: Eukaryota; Viridiplantae; Streptophyta; Magnoliopsida; Fabales; Fabaceae.